Molecule: ribosomal RNA, 468 nt
Filed under: uncultured bacterium
Lineage: Bacteria
Description: partial 16S ribosomal RNA
Rfam family: Bacterial small subunit ribosomal RNA
Source: RNAcentral
GACGAACGCUGGCGGCGUGCUUAACACAUGCAAGUCGAACGGAAAGGCCCUGCUUUUGUGGGGUGCUCGAGUGGCGAACGGGUGAGUAACACGUGAGUAACCUGCCCUUGACUUUGGGAUAACUUCAGGAAACUGGGGCUAAUACCGGAUAGGAGCUCCUGCUGCAUGGUGGGGGUUGGAAAGUUUCGGCGGUUGGGGAUGGACUCGCGGCUUAUCAGCUUGUUGGUGGGGUAGUGGCUUACCAAGGCUUUGACGGGUAGCCGGCCUGAGUGGGUGACCGGCCACAUUGGGACUGAGAUACGGCCCAGACUCCUACGGGAGGCAGCAGUGGGGAAUAUUGCACAAUGGGCGGAAGCCUGAUGCAGCAACGCCGCGUGCGGGAUGACGGCCUUCGGGGUGUAAACCGCUUUCGCCUGUGACGAAGCGUGAGUGACGGUAAUGGGUAAAGAAGCACCGGCUAACUACGUG